Molecule: long non-coding RNA, 3059 nt
Organism: Triticum urartu
Lineage: Eukaryota; Viridiplantae; Streptophyta; Magnoliopsida; Poales; Poaceae
Source: RefSeq, a predicted model, not a curated record
CUACGAUCGAUGCCUCCUGCCCAUAACAGAUCGGUCUCCACCGCCAACCAGCCCUUCGCACGCCCGAUCCACCCCUUCAUCCCGGCCGGACAUCCAUCACUGUGUCGCGGCCGAUCCUAACCUUUGCCGUCGCCCUCGCACAUCAAAGCCGCCGCACGUCCAUCCUACGAUCUGCUUCAGGAUCGCUUCAGGAGACGGCGCCGCGAUCCCGUUUAGGAGACGCCGGCGAUCACGCCCAGGAUCCGACGGCGAUCCCCUUCUGGACAUGCACAUCCUCUCGUACGCACGACUUGCAUUCAUCCCUGCGCUAAUUUCGUCCCUUCGCCACCGCCGAUCCCUGCGGAGCUUCCCUCCCCAAUCCGAUCUGACGAAGAGAGUGCCAGAUCCGGCCGGGGAGCCGCCGUACAGCCUCCACAUCGGUGGACCAGCACCUCAUGCCACGGGCGCCGCCGCCACCUCCUGCCUCACGACCCUUUGCCGUGACUCCGCCCCCAAGCGCCACUCCCGCAUGCAACCCUAACCCUAUCCCUCCAUGCCUCGCUGCCUCGCCGAUUGAGCCGCGCUGAUGGAGCCCGAGCAGCGGUGGCCGACCCCGUCGCCGCCGCCGAGCCUGUGGACAAGGAGAAGGAGAAGGAGAAGGAGGAGGAGACGGAGGCGGCCGAGGACGAGGAGGACACACUGCUAGACCGCGCGCAGCCUGAUCUCACGGGUCCCUUUGCACAUGUGCAGUUCGUCAAUGGACCAAUGCCUAAUCUCCCCAAGGUUGAUGUUUCACUGGACCCGGUGAAGGAGUUGAGCAGAGUAAUAUCUGAGCGAAAAAAUUGAGGGGCGUGCUUUGGUUGUGCUCUCAGCCAGGUUAUUUUACGAGGGUUGUGUGCACUGAACCCCAUUUCUCUGGACCAAGGGACGAUGAACAAGAUGGGAAUGAGGACGAUGCGACCUAUAGAUGGUUGCUAUGGAUCGGGAGGUUGAUACUGAACAUCAGUUUACUACUAAUCCGGAGUAGUAAUAUUGGAUUACAGGUCAUGGGUUAGUAGUUAACUGCAGAAAUCAGAAUAUUGGAUAGCAGUAACUAAGGCCAUUGGCAAUUUCUAUCAUAUAUCAUUAUUUAUUUGUGUGAUUCCUUUACCAACUACAUGUUUCUAUUUGUUUCCUAUAUUUUGUUUGUUCCUGAAUAUUUUAUGAAUUGUGUAUUUCUAUUUUAAUACAUAAGAGUCUUUUUCAUGCAAUUUACUCAAUGGCCUAUAUAAGAAGCCCUAAAUAAAGCUAUUCCUCAUUUGUACACUUUCUUACUUAUAUAGAUCAAAAUAUGGAAUUCUCUGCAGGUUAACUAAUACAUGCAUCAGCUUUGUAUCAUAAAGAUUUCACCAUCCCAAGGUAAUGGAAAUAAGUUCACAAGAUUCUCAUGUUGAGGUCUGUACAAAGAGAUACAAGGCAAUGUCUGUGUGCUGGAAGGAGAAACUCACUGCCAAAGCUAUAAUCCCUGAUGCUAAAGCCUGCAUGUUCAGAUCUGUAGAGUUUACUCAUAUUACUGUAUGUUAGGUUCUUCACAGCUAGGAGCUUUUAAUCAAUUGUAGUUAUACAGAAAGAUUAAGAUGGAGGGAGUCAUUAAAAAUCAGCAAUUGUUCCAGCCAACCGGUAGUAGUGGGUGCAGCAUUUGAAGACACCAAAAAGAGCCUUGGACUCUGAUGGAUAAUGAUUAAUACAGAGGGAGCCCUUUUGUCAGGUCAUUUAAUCAUUUAAUCAUAGGUACAUUAUCUCAGGUAACUUACUACUACCUUUGUUCGAAAAUAAGUGUCGUUAACUUAGUACACCUUUGCACUAAAAUUGUACUAAAUCCGUGACACUUAUUUUGGGACAGAGGGAGUAUUUCAUUUUCUACCUGAACCAAGUUGUUAUUUCAUUUCUAAGAGGCAAAGAGUUCCUCCUGGUUAGUUUGCCACAUUUUAUAUGUCUAUCUAUGUGCAUUACUUAUUAGUUCCCACUUUUGGCUCACUUUCUUGAUGCAUCUCGUAUGAGAGGAAAGGAAUGCAAAAUCUGACAAGCAAUGUUCGGGCAUACCCUUAUAUUUACGUCUGAUGAAAUGCUGCGGGUGCAAACUAAAAGACUGCUGCCAUGAGCAAAAGUGCAGACAUUACUUAUGAGAAAACAAUAAAAGAAUCUUCCGUGACUACAGACCACAACGAGUCAAAGACAAUGAAAGCACUACUCCAUUGGUGGUGUUAGCAAGUGGAGUCUGGAGGGAGAACAACACAAAGUAGGAAAUUGAUUCCCUCGCCCUCGCUUGCUUCAACGACCCCACCAAGACGGGCGGGGUCGAUUCCCCCAUCGCCCGACUCAUCUCCGACGAGUAUGGCGUCAAUGGGUAUGCCCCGCCGCUUAUAUGCUUGGCGGGUCCCAGAACACCCGUGAUGUGUAUGAGCUUGACUAGGGCGAGGGGCUCGUGCUCGUGCUCGUGCUCGAGCUCGACAAGACACACUUCGAUCUCAUCACCAACAACGAGAUGGACUGUGAGACUCCAGAGCAGGCGGGGAUGAACGAAGACGAAAGUGGGGGCAGUUCGAGCUUGUCGCUCCCGAAGACCCUGGAGAGGUGCACGAAGAGACUUGGUUAGAUUUGUUGGCCACCACUGGUAAACUGCACUAAUAACAAAUCGGAUGUCAUCUCUCAUGUUGCCGAUUCAACCCUGGACGAUGUUGCGCGGCUCGCGGCCAUGGACGAUGUGCUGUUGGACAACGACGUGAGGCCGAGGCAGCCAAUGUGAAUGACCACUGGAAAUCAUUUACCUUUCAAUCUUGGAAGGCCCUAAGCUGAAGGAGAGCAUCAAUUGUCAUGAGAGAUAAGCAAUAUCUAUUAGACACGCAUACUAUCAGGCUAACGCAAACCACUCGGGAAUGAAGUAUACUUAUUGUAACUUUCUAUGUGUUGACUUGAGUUUUCCUGUUAGUAAAAGAAACAUGCCAUUUUUUGCGGUUCAUGGAUUCAUGCUCAAUGUUGAAAUAUUAUCUAAUCUGCAAAAGCUUGAUCAAAGAUUCCACUGUGUGCUUAUUUCUCCAUCA